Molecule: signal recognition particle RNA, 268 nt
Filed under: Saimiri boliviensis boliviensis (Bolivian squirrel monkey)
Lineage: Eukaryota; Metazoa; Chordata; Mammalia; Primates; Cebidae
Description: Metazoan signal recognition particle RNA (ENSSBOG00000000893.1)
Rfam family: Metazoan signal recognition particle RNA
About the family: The signal recognition particle (SRP) is a universally conserved ribonucleoprotein. It is involved in the co-translational targeting of proteins to membranes.
Source: RNAcentral
ACUGGGCACAGUAGUGCAUGCCUGUAGUCCCAGCUACUCGGGAGGCUGAGGUGGGAGGAUGCUUGAGCCUAGGAGUUCUGGGAUGUAGUGCGCUAUGCCGAUGUGUCCGCACUAAGUUUGGCAUCAAUAUGGUGACCUCCCGGGAAGGAUGAACCAGCCCAGGUUGGAAACAGAGCAGGUCAGAACUUCCGUACUGAUCAGUAGUGGGGCUGUGUCUGUGAAUAGCCACUGCACUCCAGCCUGGGCAACAUAGCGAGACCCUGUCUCU